Artibeus jamaicensis (Jamaican fruit-eating bat) is the source of this 183-nucleotide small nuclear RNA. RefSeq annotates it as U2 spliceosomal RNA. The transcript has a single exon. NCBI's taxonomy places the organism in Eukaryota, Metazoa, Chordata, Mammalia, Chiroptera, Phyllostomidae. The record is from RefSeq and is a predicted model, not a curated record.
AUCACUUCUCAGCCUUUCAGCUGAGAUCAAGUGUCGUAUUUGGUCUCAGUUUAAUAUGACACGUCCUCUAUCUGAGGACAAUGUAUUAAAUGGAUUUUUGGAGCCAGGAGAUGGAAUGGGAGUUUGCUCUGUCCACUCCGCACAUUGACCCAGUAUUGCAGUACUUCUGGGAAUGGCCCCCCA